This 253-nucleotide ribosomal RNA is filed under the name uncultured bacterium. Its description in RNAcentral is "partial 16S ribosomal RNA". It matches the Rfam family "Bacterial small subunit ribosomal RNA", at positions 524 to 776 of the family's 1533-position model. The record is from RNAcentral.
UACAGAGGGGGCAAGCGUUAUUCGGAAUUAUUGGGCGUAAAGGGCGCGUAGGCGGUUUUUUAAGUCGGAUGUGCAAUCCCCAGGCUCAACCUGGGAACUGCAUUUGAUACUGGCAGACUCGAGUCUGGUAGAGGGUAGUGGAAUUCCGCAUGUAGCGGUGAAAUGCGUAGAUAUGCGGAGGAACAUCAGUGGCGAAGGCGGCUACCUGGACCAAGACUGACACUGAGGCACGAAAGCGUGGGGAUCAAACAGG